UCAGACAUGCAAGUCGAACGCGAAAGUUUCCUUCGGGAGACAAGUAGAGUGGCGCACGGGUGAGUAACACGUAGGUAAUCUACCUUUGGAUGGGGAAUAACCCCGAGAAAUCGGGGCUAAUACCGCAUAAUGCAGCGGCACCUAAUGGUGACAGUUGUUAAAGCGGGGGAUCGAAAGACCUCGCGUCUAAAGAGGAGCCUGCGGCGGAUUAGCUAGUUGGUAAGGUAAUGGCUUACCAAGGCAACGAUCCGUAGCCGGCCUGAGAGGGCGGUCGGCCACACUGACACUGACAUACGGGUCAGACUCCUACGGGAGGCAGCAGUCGGGAAUUUUGGGCAAUGGGCGAAAGCCUGACCCAGCAACGCCGCGUGAAGGAUGAAAUCCCUCGGGAUGUAAACUUCGCAAGAACGGGAAGAAUAAGUAGGGGACAACACCCCCUAUGAUGACGGUACCGUUUGUAAGCUCCGGCUAACUCCGUGCCAGCAGCCGCGGUAAUACGGGGGGAGCAAGCGUUGUUCGGAUUUACUGGGCGUAAAGGGCGCGUAGGCGGCCACCGCAAGUCAAUUGUGAAAUCUCCGGGCUUAACUCGGAAAGGUCAACUGAUACUGCGGGGCUAGAGUGCGGAAGGGGCAACUGGAAUUCUCGGUGUAGCGGUGAAAUGCGUAGAUAUCGAGAGGAACACCUGCGGCGAAGGCGGGUUGCUGGGCCGACACUGACGCUGAUGCGCGAAAGCCAGGGGAGCGAACGGGAUUAGAUACCCCGGUAGUCCUGGCCUUAAACGAUGAAUGCUUGGUGUCUGGGGUUAUAAAGUCCCCGGGUGCCGUCGCUAACGCUUUAAGCAUUCCGCCUGGGGAGUACGGUCGCAAGACUGAAACUCAAAGGAAUUGACGGGGACCCGCACAAGCGGUGGAGCAUGUGGUUUAAUUCGACGCA
Molecule: ribosomal RNA, 933 nt
Filed under: uncultured bacterium
Lineage: Bacteria
Description: bacterial SSU rRNA
Rfam family: Bacterial small subunit ribosomal RNA
Source: RNAcentral